This 823-nucleotide ribosomal RNA is filed under the name uncultured bacterium. Its description in RNAcentral is "bacterial SSU rRNA". It matches the Rfam family "Bacterial small subunit ribosomal RNA", at positions 56 to 870 of the family's 1533-position model. The record is from RNAcentral.
UGCAAGUCGAGCGGCAGCACAGAGGAGCUUGCUCCUUGGGUGGCGAGUGGCGGACGGGUGAGGAAUAAUCGGAAUCUACUUUUUCGUGGGGGAUAACGUAGGGAAGCUUACACUAAUACCGCACACCACCUACGGGUGAAAGCACGGGACCUUCGGGCCUUGCGCGAUUGAAUGAGCCGAAGUCGGAUUAUCUAGUUGGCGGGGUAAAGGCCCACCACGGCGACUAUCCGUACCUGGUCUGAGAGGAUGAUCAGCCACACUGGAACUGAGACACGGUCCAGACUCCUACGGGAGGCGGCAAUGGGGAAUAUUGGACAAUGGGCGCAAGCCUGAUCCAGCCAUACCGCGUGGGUGAAGAAGGCCUUCGGGUUGUAAAGCCCUUUUGUUGGGAAAGAAAUCCAUCUGGCUAAUACCCGGUUGGGAUGACGGUACCCAAAGAAUAAGCACCGGCCAACUUCGUGCCACCAGCCGCGGUAAUACGAAGGGUGCAAGCGUUACUCGGAAUUACUGGGCGUAAAGCGUGCGUACGUGGUCGUUUAAAUCCGUUGUGAAAGCCCUGGGCUCAACCUGGGAACUGCAUUGUGAUACUGGGCGACUAUAGUGUGGUAAGGGUAACGGAAUUCCUGGUGUACAGUGAAAUGCGUACAGAUCAAGAAGGAGCGUCCAUGGCGAGGGCUCCUACCUGGAUCAGCCCUGACACUGAGGCACGAAAGCGUGGGGAGCAAGACAGGAUUAAUACCCUGCUAGUCGGCGCCCUACACAAUGCAAACUGAUGUUGGCUGCAGCUGGGGACGCCGCAUCCAAGCUAACGCGUUAGUUCCCC